Molecule: long non-coding RNA, 435 nt
Organism: Cataglyphis hispanica
Lineage: Eukaryota; Metazoa; Arthropoda; Insecta; Hymenoptera; Formicidae
Exons: 3
Source: RefSeq, a predicted model, not a curated record
GAGAUUUCAAUGUCUGGCUCGAUCGGCGAGCCGACCGGCGCUGAUGGCGAGGAGAUGCCGCUGUCGGUGAUGGUCGAGGUGAGAGACGUCGGCGAUUCCGGGUGCUUCUUGAUGUGCAGCUCCAUUGUCUUUUUUGAGGUGCUCUCACAGAUGAAAAAAUUGCUCAAACUAGGCCAACAAAAAUCCAUGUGAUAAAUUUUGCGAUCGUCCGUACGAGAAUAUAAAUGGCAUAACACCGACUACAAUAUAUUUUCAAGUCUGAAUUUCCGAGAGGAAUGUAGAAUAUUUAUAACGGACAGCGUAAUCCAAAAUUUAGGCGAUGGUCUAUCACGGUGUCAUCCUCACCUUUUCUUCAGCGACAUCCGAAGAAAUGAAGCGCGGCAGCGUUAGCGGCGAAUGAGAAUUUCGUGGGAUUUUAAUCCAAUAAUCGACGAG